RNA transcript from Etheostoma cragini (Arkansas darter), 1221 nucleotides. RefSeq lists it as uncharacterized. Lineage: Eukaryota; Metazoa; Chordata; Actinopteri; Perciformes; Percidae. The transcript is spliced from 4 exons. The record is from RefSeq and is a predicted model, not a curated record.
UUAUUUUGAAGGUUUUGACCGGAAGAUGUGUUUAAUUCCAGACCAGAACCGAAAAAUGAAUCACUACUUGGUCACUUUUGCUGUCAUUUGGACUCAGUCAUGUCGAACAAUAGCGCCGCAAACAGCAGUUUAGUCCUCGCCCAGAAGGCAGUGAAACAGCUUCGUCUCGAGGCCAGUGUCCGUCGGAUAAAGGUCUCUCAGGCCGCUGCAGAACUGAAGACCUUCUGUUUGCAAAAUGCCCACAAAGACCCUCUCCUCACCGGGGUGCCCUCCAGUGAUAACCCAUUCAGGCCUCCCAAGUCAUGUGUCCUCCUCUGACGUGGCUUUGAAGGAGUGCAAAACACUCAAGCAGAUGCCUACAAUGUGGAUUUCUCUCAUGUGCCUGCUGCCUCGGAAGAUAAAGAAGUCAACCCCCCCCCCCCACACACACACACACACACACACACAAAUGCAGGAAUAAUGCUGACAACAUAAAUGUAUAUUUUGAUGUUAUGCUCUUUCUAUGUUAGAUUUACACGGCAGGCCUUAAGGCUUAUUCUGUUUUGAUAACUAUAUCCGUAAACUAUAUUUUUGACCACUUGUUUACCCCUGAUUUUAUAAUAGAACUACUUUUCUUUCACUGGUUUAUAUUGUGAAAAAUAUCCUGGAGUUGAUGACUGAAAAGCCCUAUGAAAGUCACAUUUGCAAACAUCAGAUUUCUAUCUGAUUUAUUUCUAUUUAUGAACGUUGCCCAAAGCAGAAAUUAAAACACAACACAAAGGGGUCAUUUACACCACCUGACAUUUUUUUUAAAGCAGAAAGCACAGAGACAAUUCAUACAAAUCUAAAUGAUUUUUUUUUAGGCAAACAUAGGCUGCUUAAUAAAACUUUGGUAGGGAAAUGAGGAUGUGUAAUGUUUAUAUUGUUGUAUAAGAUGCUUAUCUUGUAUAAUCCACCCUAAAAAAGUUAUGUGUUUGGUUUUGUCACGUGUCUGAAGCUGUAUCUGGCAUGAAUGUUUUGCAUCAAAGUUUUUCUUUUACAAAUACCAACAAUAUUUAACUCUACCAAACUUUUAUUUCACUGCAAAUUUUUAUCUGGUAAAAUAAGAUAACAUAAUCUUGAUGUUACCUUCAAGUGCUCGUUUUCCCAAGAUGUUAUUAUCUGAACUCUCAUGAGCAUAGAAUACUAACCCAUGUUUGAAACAUAAAGGUGACCUUACUAAAGUACCAUUGACAAAAUCUU